CAGACACGGACUCACAUAAAUGCAAUCCACAUGCACACACUCACACAAUAGGCUGUUAUGCACAGACCCUCACACUCAUGUGAACACACUCAUGCACACGCAAGACUUACAUAUUCACACUCACACCCGUGGGCACACCCAGACAUGGAUACACACUCAUACAGGCACAUACGUAUCCAGACACCCACGCACAGACACUCACACCCACGGGCACACCUAGACAUGGAUACACAGGCACACACAUAUUGGGACACCCACGCAUAGACACUCACAUUCACACACGGGCACACCCAGACUGAUGCACACGAACACAGGCACGCACUAGUAUAGCCAGACACACAGGCACACUCAAACUCUCACAGUCACACAUUCACAUACACUCACAUGAAUACAAUGCAUGCACACACAAACAUACCUAUACACUUGUGUGUGCAGAGAACACACACACAUUUGCACUUAUACUCACAUGAAUACAAUAGAAACACAUGCAUACACACUUGUGUGCCCAGACCCACACUCACACAUUUGCACACUCACAUGACUAUAAUACAUGCACACAUGCAUACAUACAUGUGACCAGACCCACACCCACUCACAUUCGCACUCACACACACGUGAAUAUAGUACUCGCACACACAUGCAUACACGUGCCCAGACCUACAGACACACUCACAUUUGCACAGUCACACGUGAAUAUAGUAUAUGCACACACACACUUAUGUGCGCAGACCCACAGACACACACAUUCACACUCUCACACAUGUGAAUAUAGUACAUGCACACACACACGCAUACACACUCGUGCCCAGACACACACACUCACACAUUCGCACACUCAGAGUGCCCCCCUCCCUCUCACAGGCCUUGUCCUGGGGACGAGUCAAGCCGUCAGGUACCUACACUCUGAGCUCCCGGAUCACUGGGCCGACACCGGAGGCUGCUGCUGUUUGUGGUCCGUCUUCCUGUGGAGUGUAUUCGACUGCGGGGGCGUCCACAAGGUGGGUGUGGGUGGGCCCGGAGACCUUUCUUCCGGGAGGCCAAGUUUCCAAAGCCAGUCCUUCACGUUCAAGGAUGCCCUCUCCCUGCAGGAUCCUGGACUUGUCAUGGGGUCUGGAUUAGGUUAUGCUAAUGGCAUCCACACUUGGCCUUUCCCCUCUUUCCUUAUAAAUCAGCCAACAAUGGGAGGCCGUGGGCUUCGCCAGAAGCCUCUGGAAACAGAGCUGCUCCUUUCCAGCAGGCCAGGCCGACCGGGGAGGCUGCGGCCCAUCGUGCGCUGGGGGAAGGUGAGCCAGGCUCCCAUCACGUGCCGGGAGCUGAUCUUGGCAGGUCGCGUCCUCCCGAAGCCUGCACUUCAGCCCCAGGGUUUUCCGACCGCCUCUGCUCCCAGAGGGGACCCGCAGGGACGAAGAGGCCGAACACAGCACCGAGACCUCAGUGUCGGGCGCGGGUGCUCCCAAAGCGCAGCGGGCCCACCUCCCCCGGCAGAGGAUCGUGCGGCGGUCAAAGUCGCACACGGGGCUUCUGAGACGUGCGGCCCGGGCCUAAGAGCUGCAUGUGUGCAAGCCGCUCCGUGUUGGAAAAUGUAUGUAAAGUAAAAUAAACACGGCUCUCGCUGGGAGGGCUCCGGCAUCCAGGGUUCUGGCGGGGCGGGGGGAUGCGGUCAGCCAAAGCAUUUGAGGAAGCGGCUGUGACUCACGGGGCCUGAGCUGCAGAGGAGCUGGCUGCCGAGAUGCAGGACACGCCGGAGACACUGGACCCGGGACGCUCAACACACCCUGCCCCCCACUGCAGAGACGGGCUCCAGGGAGGCACAAUGGCAGGCUUUGUCUCGG
This 1832-nucleotide long non-coding RNA is filed under the name Homo sapiens (human). Its description in RNAcentral is "non-protein coding lnc-BANP-14:6". Lineage: Eukaryota; Metazoa; Chordata; Mammalia; Primates; Hominidae. The record is from RNAcentral.